UACGUAGGGGGCAAGCGUUGUCCGGAUUUACUGGGCGUAAAGAGCGUGUAGGCGGCCAUACAGGUCCGUUGUGAAAACUGGAGGCUCAACUUCCAGACGUCGACGGAAACCGUGUGGCUAGAGUCCGGAAGAGGAGAGUGGAAUUCCUGGUGUAGCGGUGAAAUGCGCAGAUAUCAGGAAGAACACCAAUGGCGAAGGCAGCUCUCUGGGACGGUACUGACGCUGAGACGCGCAAGCGUGGGGAGCGAACAGG
Molecule: ribosomal RNA, 253 nt
Filed under: uncultured bacterium
Lineage: Bacteria
Description: partial 16S ribosomal RNA
Rfam family: Bacterial small subunit ribosomal RNA
Source: RNAcentral